RNAcentral lists this ribosomal RNA (756 nucleotides) under uncultured Bacteroidota bacterium. RNAcentral describes it as "bacterial SSU rRNA". It matches the Rfam family "Bacterial small subunit ribosomal RNA", at positions 60 to 817 of the family's 1533-position model. The record is from RNAcentral. Lineage: Bacteria; Pseudomonadati; Bacteroidota.
AGUCGAGGGGUAUAGUUCUUCGGAAUUAGAGACCGGCGCACGGGUGCGUAACGCGUAUGCAAUCUACCUUUUACAGAGGGAUAGCCCAGAGAAAUUUGGAUUAAUACCUCAUAGUAUAGAUCAACCGCAUGGUUGGCCUAUUAAAGUCACAACGGUAAAAGAUGAGCAUGCGUCCCAUUAGCUAGUUGGUAAGGUAACGGCUUACCAAGGCGACGAUGGGUAGGGGUCCUGAGAGGGAGAUCCCCCACACUGGUACUGAGACACGGACCAGACUCCUACGGGAGGCAGCAGUGAGGAAUAUUGGACAAUGGGCGCAAGCCUGAUCCAGCCAUGCCGCGUGCAGGAUGACGGUCCUAUGGAUUGUAAACUGCUUUUGCACAGGAAGAAACAACUCUACGUGUAGAGUCUUGACGGUACUGUGAGAAUAAGGAUCGGCUAACUCCGUGCCAGCAGCCGCGGUAAUACGGAGGAUCCAAGCGUUAUCCGGAAUCAUUGGGUUUAAAGGGUCCGUAGGCGGUUUAGUAAGUCAGUGGUGAAAGCCCAUCGCUCAACGGUGGAACGGCCAUUGAUACUGCUAGACUUGAAUUAUUAGGAAGUAACUAGAAUAUGUAGUGUAGCGGUGAAAUGCUUAGAGAUUACAUGGAAUACCAAUUGCGAAGGCAGGUUACUACUAAUGGAUUGACGCUGAUGGACGAAAGCGUGGGUAGCGAACAGGAUUAGAUACCCUGGUAGUCCACGCCGUAAACGAUGGAUACU